RNAcentral lists this ribosomal RNA (372 nucleotides) under uncultured organism. RNAcentral describes it as "bacterial SSU rRNA". It matches the Rfam family "Bacterial small subunit ribosomal RNA", at positions 526 to 896 of the family's 1533-position model. The record is from RNAcentral.
CGUAGGAUGCAAGCGUUGUCCGGAUUUAUUGGGCGUAAAGAGUUCGUAGGCGGUUCGUUAAGUUCGAUGUUAAAGACCGGGGCCCAACCCCGGGACUGCAUUGAAUACUGGCGGACUGGAGUGCAGUAGAGGCAAGAGGAAUUCCCAGUGUAGCGGUGAAAUGCGUAGAUAUUGGGAAGAACACCAGUGGCGUAAGCGUCUUGCUGGGCUGUAACUGACGCUGAGGAACGAAAGCCAGGGGAGCGAAUGGGAUUAGAUACCCCAGUAGUCCUGGCCGUAAACGAUGGAUACUAGGCGUAGCGGGUAUCGACCCCUGCUGUGCCGCAGCUAACGCGAUAAGUAUCCCGCCUGAGUAGUACGGCCGCAAGGUUG